Aethina tumida (small hive beetle) is the source of this 1247-nucleotide long non-coding RNA. RefSeq lists it as uncharacterized. The record is from RefSeq and is a predicted model, not a curated record. The transcript is spliced from 2 exons. Lineage: Eukaryota; Metazoa; Arthropoda; Insecta; Coleoptera; Nitidulidae.
GUUUAAGUAAGUUAUUGGCCAAUGAUAUUUUAUAUUAAUAGAAUGUUUCGGCAUUUAAAAAUUUUAUUAUGUCUUGAAAGACUUCGUUCUUAUUCAAUACAUUUCAAAAUUCUAUUAUUUUAACCUACUACAUUUUAGUAUUGUAUUCUUCCAAUCACAUAAUGCCAAAAUAUUUUAUUAUAUAAAUCAUGUUAAUAACUGUAACAACUUUAAUAAACUUGUAAUAAAACUGCCCCUUCUACCUUUUCAUUGGUAAAAUACCAAGUUAUUUUAGUUUUGGUAGAAGCUUAUGAUUUUGCCUUCAUACCUUGGAGUCUCUUAAUAAUCGUUAAGUUAAAUGUGAAUGUCAUAUGAAGCAAUACAAAUAUUGUGACCCAAAAGAAUUAGAAGUACAACAGUUUUGUAUAUAAAGAAGUAGAAGGCUAAAACAAAUCAAAUUUUGAACAAGGUAGUAUGGUUUCUUUUCUCUCUUUGGUAAUUGUCAGAUCGGCUUAUUGGAGACAUUUUCAAUGUACUUUCCUUUUUUAUUGCAAUAUCCCUUUCUCUGUGGUUAACUUCAAUAUUUAAUAAAGAAAUAGCCAGUCUUUAAAUGAAGUAAAUGAUCAUAUUUAAAAAGAUAUUGUCAUAAACAAUGAAAGUAUAUUGAAAAAAUCUUCAAUACGUUGACUCACAUUUAUCAUGGACCAAAUUAAGAAAAGAAUCAAAAAUAUUCAACCAUAAGCCAAAAUUUGAUAUGUAUUUUCUUACAUUUCAUUAUAUUAAAAUUGUUGUAGAAUUUAACUUUUUCCUUGGAAGCUAAAAUCGGUGUAUUGGUGAUUUUUUCAAUAUACUUUCUUCGUUUAUUACCAUAUCAUUUUCUUUGUGAUCAAGUUCCUUCCUUACCAUAUCAGUUUUGGAUCUUGUAAGCAGAUGAAGUUGGCCACAAUGAAAAAUAUAUAGCAAUAAAAGCAGAAAGUCCUUAGAAAGAUUCUUCAAAUACGCUAAUUUUAGUUUCUAAGGAGAAAGUUUAUAAAAAGGUCUUCCAAAUAAAAGGUCAAAAGAAGACAAACGUCAUUCAGAGUUCUCAUCAAAUAGAAGGAUCAAGAGAAGAAAAUCAAGAAAAAUCCUUUUCAAAUAUUUGUAUCUAAAAUUAUGACGAACCUCUUAAAACACUGUUACUCCAUGUUGCUGAAAUUGUAUUCAAUAGAAUUCAAUCCAUUCAUUAUAUUAAAAAUGUCCCCAUAAUUAAAAUAAAUUUUUAAAUUACU